AUACAUAGGGGGCGAGCGUUAUCCGGAAUUAUUGGGCGUAAAGCGUACGUAGGCGGAAUGAUAAGUCAUUUGUAAAAGAUCUCGGCUCAACCGAGUAAGGCGAAUGAAACUGUCAAUCUUGAGUAUGGUAGAGGUAAGCGGAAUUUCAAGUGUAGCGGUGGAAUGCGUAGAUAUUUGAAGGAACACCGAUGGCGAAGGCAGCUUACUGGGCCAGAACUGACGCUGAGGUACGAAAGCGUGGGUAGCAAACAGGAUUAGAUACCCUGGUAGUCCACGCCGUAAACGAUGAGAACUAAGUGUCGGGGUAACACUCGGUGCUGCAGUUAACGCAAUAAGUUCUCCGCCUGGGUAGUACGGUCGCAAGACUGAA
RNAcentral lists this ribosomal RNA (370 nucleotides) under uncultured bacterium. Its description in RNAcentral is "bacterial SSU rRNA". It matches the Rfam family "Bacterial small subunit ribosomal RNA", at positions 523 to 898 of the family's 1533-position model. The record is from RNAcentral.